CCAGGAGUGAAGCUGGCUGCCAUGUCCUAUCCACAGAGUGCCUGCACUAGGUUGGGGUGUUGUUCCAGGACCUUACUUCAGAUAUCUCCUCCAAGCAUUUGGAGACCUCAUUUCUUGUUUUAACUCCCUCUCUGACUGAAAUACCCUGAGUGGUUUCUGUUUCAUUUUCUAUUGGAAACUGACAGAUAAAGAAGCACGUGGAGAGGUCUGUUGGUGAACUCCAAGUUUCCAGGUCCCCCCAGUGGGAGUGGUUUCCUACCUAAUUAAGCAGCCCAGCCAGCAGAGAAGGCACUGUCCUCCUUGAAACUGGAACCUAUAAGCAGAAUGAUCAAAGGGUGAGAGAAAGACCAUCUACAUCUGAUUUCCAUUUUGGGAGGAAACUGAAGAGAUGGAAAUAUUGCUGCCUUCUAAAAUUUGCGGCAGGGUUUGUUGAGCCUACAGCCGAGCAUGGAGUGGAUUAUGAAGCCUUAAGGUAGGAUAAACCAUGUGGCAGAUACCCAAAGACCUGCAGAAAGCUUGGAUGGACAAAAGCCAAGUCAGCAGGAGGGAGUCAACUAAAGCUACAUCAAAGUAUUCACCAGCCAGGGGUGAGCAUCCAACUGAGUGUGGUAUCCAGUGAACAGUGGGUCAUCACGCCAGAGACCAGAGAAUGCUCUUCAUGCACCCCUGGGGACAUGCAUGACCCCAGAGUUCCCCUCUACAUUGUCUCAUGUCGGUGAGACACAGGCCACACAUCAUAUCAUGUUCACUUGGUAUCUUGGGGAAAAAAAAUCAUGGAAUGAGGAGGAUAUCUGUGAAGUUGAGCUUUUUUGUUGUUCAAGAAAGACCAAUAUAGCCUGAGAGGACUACUUUGAUUAUUGAAUCACACUAAGCUUAAUUAAAUAUCUAUUAAAUGUCUUUUUUCCUGCUAAACAGAGGAUAUUAUCCUGAAGGAAACCAUAGAGACAAUCAAGGCAACAUAUUUUCUCUGCAUAGCUAACUUAGUGUACUAAAUUUUAUAAUACUGCUACGUGUGAUGGAGAUUAAGGAGAAACUCUACUACUACUUAACAAGUCCCAAUGAAUACAAUCUGUUUUUGUUAAUACAUUUUGGAAAACUACCCCUUCUUUGAGAGGGAUGCUAUUUCUGUGUAUGGAGUGGUGGGAGGCUGCAUACAUUAUUUUUCCAAUGGAAAAAUUAAAAAAGAAUUCUGCAGUCUUUCCAAACUGUUUGGUUCCUCUAUCUCUACACGUGGGGGUUACCUAGAAAGCACGAAAAUAUACUCCAACCCUAAUCAAUUGAGUCACAGAGUCCCUCUGCAGUUCUACUGUUUAGCCAGUAUUGAGAAGUAUUGGUCAAGUUCAGCAGAGAGAUUCUUGUGAGCCAUAGUUGCAUCACUCUUCCAUAUUUGGGAUAGUUUCAGUAACAUUAGCACAGCCGGAAUGGCUGCCAACUUUGUUCUGCACACUUAGGAAAGGCUGACUUUCAAAACAGUAAAUGUUUUUUAAUUCUUUAACAUCUGUUUAAAGUUUUCCUUCCUAUCUUAAUGAUUUGAGGCCUGACAUAAAGGACUAGAGUUUUAUGAUGUUCUCACUUGUGUCUGUGAAUUCCCACCUUCCACUCAGAAAGACAACUGAAGUUUAGGUAAAUGAAGGAAACCUGGGGAAAUGCUGGUCUCUUACCCAUUGUUCUUUUAUUUAUUUAUUUAUUUUUUCAUUUCUU
Non-coding RNA from Sus scrofa (pig), 1701 nucleotides. The record is from RefSeq and is a predicted model, not a curated record. Lineage: Eukaryota; Metazoa; Chordata; Mammalia; Artiodactyla; Suidae.